AUCCAUGUUGCUUAGGUAGAUUGCUUAGAUGAAUUUUGAUUAAAAGAAAAAGAAAAUUAUCUUUUAAUUCAAGCACCGUUGCUUAAUUAGGAACAAUAAGCUACGUUGCUUAUCUCCUUCUCUCUCUCAUCUCUAUCUCUGUCUCUCUCCCCACUUCCUGAAAUCAGUAGAUUUCGGUUCCAAAAUGUCGUGAUUGAUCUCUUCUCUUGGGAUGAUCUCGUCGUCGUCUUUGAUCGUCUCGAGGGAUAGGGAUUGGGUUCGAUCGUCUCACCGAAACGCUAACUUCUCCGACGGGCUUAUCGCCGGCGAUGGGACGAUCAGCCACGAUCUCGAUGACUAAGAACCGAGCCUUCACAUGGAGGUAGAGGGAGAAGAUGAGUUCAGGGAAGAGUAUGCUUGCCCCUUCUGCUCAGACUAUUUUGAUAUCGUCUCUCUCUGCUGCCACAUAGACGAAGAUCAUCCCAUGGACACUAUCAAUGGGAUAACUUCUUGGGGUUUGAGGAGGUGGUCUUCUUAUUUCCUGGAAGAUGGCCGGAUUCUAACAAGAUAAUGAUGCUCUUUAAGAAACGGGUUUUAUGGACACGUGUCGUUAUCUCACCCCUCUCUCUCUCGACCAAAGCAUCCUCUCUCUUUCUCUCGCGUUUCCUCGACGACUCCGACUCCAUCUGGUUAUCUCUCCUCGACGAUGACCUCUCCGCGGCGACUCCGACUCCAUUAACCGGCGACUCUGACGAUGACCUCUCCAUGGCUUUUAAUCUGUAGUUGGGUCUGGAUUGUAUGAUUAAACUUGGCUUUCGUUCUUUUAAAGCAAAAUCUGUUCUUAUAGUUCAUUGUAAUAUUUGCGUUUAUUCUGAGUUUCGUAAUUGAAAUUGAUAUUUGCGUUUCGUAAUUGAAAUUGAUAUUUGCGUUUAUUCUGAGUUUGGUCUUAUUUGUAGACAGCGAGGUACACUGUGAGAGCUUUUUGUAUGAGACAUUACGAAAAGAUUUCUUGUUGCGUCAUUGUGAGAGGAGACAAGGCAAUGCAACUUCUUGAGUGUGGCUUGAAAGUGAAGGAAUACAGAUCGAAUCUUCAUCACCAGGGAAUGAGGUAGCUUUCCUCUAAAGCAUUACUAAGGCAAUGGCAGCUAUGAGCAAGAAUAUGGAUCUGGCAAAACAGGCUAAGGUUAUGAGAGAGUUCCAAAAGCAGUCUGCGCAAAUGGACAUGACUGUAAGUUGUGAGCAGCAGUUCUGAAAUGGAUGAUCUGGAGAAGCGGUUGGCGGCGCUUAGAUAGAAAGAAAGAAGAAAGUGCCGUGAGCUUGAAGAAAACGUUUCAGACCAAGAGCUACUGGUUAGUUCAAUAUCAUUGAUCAAUUUGAAGUUUUUUGAUUGUGCAUUGUAGUAAAGUUUGUUGUAAUGAAAGUGUUUUAUAAUUUUUUUUAAGAACCCAUAAUUAAGAGACUUGCAAUAAACCAUUUAAAUGUUCAAAUCUC
Molecule: RNA transcript, 1470 nt
Organism: Brassica napus (rape)
Lineage: Eukaryota; Viridiplantae; Streptophyta; Magnoliopsida; Brassicales; Brassicaceae
Gene name: protein DEHYDRATION-INDUCED 19 homolog 5-like
Exons: 7
Source: RefSeq, a predicted model, not a curated record